UACGGGGGGGGCAAGCGUUGUUCGGAAUUACUGGGCGUAAAGGGCUCGUAGGCGGCCAACUAAGUCAGACGUGAAAUCCCUCGGCUUAACCGGGGAACUGCGUCUGAUACUGGAUGGCUUGAAUCCGGGAGAGGGAUGCGGAAUUCCAGGUGUAGCGGUGAAAUGCGUAGAUAUCUGGAGGAACACCGGUGGCGAAGGCGGCGUUCUGGACUGCUACUGACACUGAGGAACGAAAGCCAGGGGAGCAAACGGG
This 253-nucleotide ribosomal RNA is filed under the name uncultured bacterium. RNAcentral's name for it is "partial 16S ribosomal RNA". It matches the Rfam family "Bacterial small subunit ribosomal RNA", at positions 524 to 776 of the family's 1533-position model. The record is from RNAcentral.